This is a long non-coding RNA of Lagenorhynchus albirostris (white-beaked dolphin), 419 nucleotides long. RefSeq lists it as uncharacterized. The transcript has 3 exons. The record is from RefSeq and is a predicted model, not a curated record. Lineage: Eukaryota; Metazoa; Chordata; Mammalia; Artiodactyla; Delphinidae.
AAACAUCCUUAGGCUGUCCCAUUGGACAUCCCUCCCCAACUCCUGGUACCUCCCCGUUUCUCUGUCAAGGAAAGAUAUUUCUUGCUGGCUUUGAUGAAUUUGCCGGGUUGAAGAACCCCCCAUGGCAAGAAAUUGAGGGCAACUUCCUGUCAACAGCCCGUGAAAAACUGAGUCCUCAGUUCAACAGUCCACAGGAAUCAAAACUCUUGCCAACAACCAUGUGAACUUGGAAAGCUGAUUCUUCCCCAGUCAAGCCUCAAGAUGAGACCACAGCCUCACGGCUCUUAGUUAAUCCUUGAAAUAGCCCAUUGUAGAGGCAAGGUGCUUGAAUUUCAAGAGGUGGAGAGUAGGAAGAGGCAUCACUUAAUGGUUAAAAGAAAAGACGUUGCAGAUUUCUCCCUACUGGAGAAGACUACAAC